Long non-coding RNA from Felis catus (domestic cat), 350 nucleotides. RefSeq lists it as uncharacterized. The transcript is spliced from 3 exons. Lineage: Eukaryota; Metazoa; Chordata; Mammalia; Carnivora; Felidae. The record is from RefSeq and is a predicted model, not a curated record.
UCAGGCUGGGAAAUGACCCUUGACAUUUAGCAAUCCCGGAUGGACAGACAAUCCCCCCCCCCCCCCUUUAGACAGCCUUCAAGCAGCACCACCUCCAGGCUUUGUCAGCCGGUGAAUUCGGUAGCCAGAAGCGAAGAAUCCCAGGGGAAACCGAGCUCCAGCGCGAUCAGUGCUGCCCCCGAUUUUGCACAGAGAAUAGAGAAACACCGUGUGAUGACAACUUUGGAUACUUCGGAAUACCAAGAAUGAAAGUACAAUUCUUAGCUUAAUGGAGAAUAAGGAUAUGCUUCUAGGUCAUGGCUCAGGUCAUGAGCUCACCGUUGGUGAGUUCAAGCCCCACAUCGGACUUG